GUGCUUUCCAAGCCGGGCGCCUUCAUCAAGAAGAGAAGAGAGAGCUGAACACGUUACUCAGAUUUUCAACUUAAUAUAUGCACUACCAUGGUAUUUAAUAGAUGAAAGAGACUAUAAGUAAUGGGAAUUGAAAGAGUUUACCAUGAAUGUGACAUUCUUGAAGCUUGGAGAUUCCGAGGUGGUGAAUUCUCCACAUUUUUAACAUGGACACCUGUCGCUUCCCAGAAUUUUGAAAUAGUACAUAAGGAAUGGAGUCUGAGGAGGAGAGAAGAGACAGUCCAGUAAUCCAACUUAAUUCCCCAAGGAUUUUGCAGUUUGGAACAAUAUCAAUAGAUACACAGGAUGCAGCUCAGGAUACAUUAUUGUGUCCUGUCAGGCAGCAGGAGGAUAAGAACUCCAUAUUUUGAUGACACGACUAACUGGAUCAUUCUGCAUUUGUCUAGAAGCAGGUGCAAGACUCUACACCUGCUCUUGUUAAACCUCGUAGUGUUCCUUCCUGCCCAACUCUCCAGCCUGUCCAGAUCUUGUUGAAUGACAGCACGGCCUUCAGGUAUAUCAGUCAAGCCUCCCAGGUUUGUAUCAUCAGCAAACUUGCUGAGAGUACACUUUGUCCCACUGACCCCUGGAGAACACCACUAGUUAGAGGCCUACAACCAGAUUCUGUGCCACUGAUGACAAUCCUCUGAGCUCUUCCAGUCAGCCAGUUCUCCUUCUACCUCACCAUCCAAUCCUCUACGCCACAGUUUCUAAGUUUCAUAACAAGGAUGUUGUGGGAAACGGUGUCAGACACCUUGCCGAAGUCAAGGUACACAACAUUCACUGCUCUACCUCAAUCUACCAAGCCAGUGAUGACAUCAUAGAAAGCUAUCAGAGUCAGAGGUGAGGCUGACUGGCCUCCAGUUUCCCACCUCCUUCUUCUUGCCCUUUCUGAAGAUUGAAGUGACACUGGCCGUCCUUGAGUCUUCAGGCAUCUCUUCCAUUUGCCAAGACCUUUCAAAGAUGAUCGAGAGUGGUUCAACAAUCACCUCAGCCAGCUCCUUCAGCACAUGUGGGUGCAUUCCAACCAGGCCAUGGAUUUGUGUGCACUGAUUUUGGUUUUAUGCUUUCUGACCAUUUCCUGCUUAACCAAAAGAAAGUCUUCCUUUCCCCUGACUCUCUCUUAACUCCAGGGUCUGGGAUUCCUGAGGGCUAAUGUUAGCAUUAAAGACUGAAGCAGAGAAGGUGUACUUUAUCUCCUCCUUCUCAGCAUCCCCUGAACAGAACACCCCCCUCAUUUAGUAGCAGACCUGCAUUUUCCCUAGUCUUCCUUUGACUGUUGACAUACUUAAAAAAAAAAGCCUUUCUUGUUAUCCUUUAUCUCCUUUUCAAGGUUUAAUUCCAAGAGGACCUUAGCCUUCCUUGUUGCAUUCCUACAGGACCUGACAACAUUCCAGUACUCUUCAGAGGUGGACAGGCCCUUUUUCUACAAUUCAUGGGCCACCUUCUUCCUUUCAGUUUAUCCAAGAGUUCCUCAAAUGCAAGAGACUCUUGCAAAAUGCAGUGAAGAGCUGGACCAGUACUGAAAUAUAGUGGAUUACUGUUUCCUUUCAAGUGAGGUAAACGGAUAGGAUAAACGGAAAGCAAUUUUCCUCACUUCUUUCAUAUCAGUGUAUAUUCUCAUAUUUCAAAGAGACAUUAGAAGACCUGGCUGGAAUAUCCCCCACCAAAACUAAACUUCAACAUAAAGCAGUUGCCAAUAGAGCAAGGAGGUGAAGUGUUUAUAGAUCACAGAUGAAAAAUUACUGAUGUGGAAAUGUAACAGUGGACAAGCCAUGGAACAAGUUGGUCUGUAGAAAUUCUACUGUAGAUCCAAUUUUGAUUUUGUUUAUAUCAAUAUAUCUUUGAGCUGAAGUUAUUCAAAUUACACCAGAGUGAGUAUUUAAUUUGAAGUAUUCAGCUGGGGGCUUUACUUCUUUUAAUGUUGCUGUGCACUCAGACUUAUAUUGGAAUGAAUCAAGGGACCUUUGUGAAAUGAGAAUCAAAUCUAGUGUAUUAAAUAACUGCUAGGAACUUGUUUAUGGAAAUUAAUUUCAGAUAUUAUGCAGAAAAAAAACAUAAGGAGUACAUAUUAAUUGAAACUCGUGCAUGAAGAUUUGGCUGAAUAACUCCCAUUAACAAUAAUAAGAAUUGCAGAAUUAAUUUCCUAAGUCCUGCUUAAAAUUCACCCAAGGGCAUUGUAUUCUGAAUCUUUAGAUUCAGAUCUUUUUGUAUUAGAUGUUUCUGGGAAUAAAAAAUCUUCUUACACAAUUAUGGCUAGAAGAGUCUAUACUGAAUAGCAGUUUAUUUUAAAAUGAUCAUUAAAUUAUAGCUGUAUUGGA
This is a long non-coding RNA of Gallus gallus (chicken), 2357 nucleotides long. RefSeq lists it as uncharacterized. The record is from RefSeq and is a predicted model, not a curated record. The transcript has 7 exons. NCBI's taxonomy places the organism in Eukaryota, Metazoa, Chordata, Aves, Galliformes, Phasianidae.